RNAcentral lists this ribosomal RNA (1113 nucleotides) under Triticum aestivum (bread wheat). RNAcentral describes it as "partial small subunit ribosomal RNA". Lineage: Eukaryota; Viridiplantae; Streptophyta; Magnoliopsida; Poales; Poaceae. The record is from RNAcentral.
GUUUCGGUUACUGUGAAGCAGAAGACGGUGGUGCUCUAUCCCUCGCUCGGCGUGGGCCACCUCAACCCCAUGGUGGAGCUGGCUAACGUCUUCCUCCGCCGCGGGCAGGCCAUCGCCAUCGCCGUCGUGAACCCACCGGACAAGGGCGCCGUGUCAGAAGACGCAAUGGCUCGCCUCUCCACCGCCAACCCAGCCAUCACGUUCCGCCUCCUCCCCGUGCCGUCUUGCGGCAAGGACCAUUACUCCCACCCGGUCCUGCGCACCACCGACGUGCUCCGCGCCGCCAACCCCUCUCUGCGGGGAUUUCUCCGUACCCUCCCCGCCGUGGACGCCAUCGUGGUCGACAUGUUCUGCGUGGACGCGCUCGACGUAGCCGCCGAGCUCGACAUCCCCGCGUACUUCUUCUUUGCCUCCGCGGUCGGCGACCUCGCCAUCAUGCUCCACCUGCCGUACUACUACCCCGCCGCCCCGUGCUCGUUCAAGGACAUGGGCAAGACGGUGCUCCGCUUCCCUGGCGUGCCGCCGAUCCGCGCGCUGGACAUGUCGACCACCAUGCUGGACCAGGAGAGCGAUAUCGCCAAGGAAUGGUUGCGCCACCACAUGCGGAUGCCGGAAGCAAGAGGUUUUCUGGCGAACAGUUUCGACUGGUUGGAGGCGAGGGCGCUGGAAGCACUCAGGGGCUUCGUGGUGAAGAACUGGGCGCCACAGGCGGAGGUGUUGCGUCACGGAGCCGUCGGCGCGUUCGUGACGCACUGUGGGUGGAACUCGCGCCUGGAGGGCAUCGUGUCCGGCGUGCCGAUGAUCUGCUGGCCGCUGUACGCGGAACAGAGGAUGAACAAGGUGCACGUGGUGGAGGAGAUGAAGGUCGGGAUGGCAGUGGAGGGCUACGAGGAGGGAUUGGUCAAGGCAGAGGAGGUGGCGGCGAAGGUGAGGCUGGUGAUGGCGUCUGAGGAAGGGAACAAACUGAGGGAGAGGCUCGUGGCGGCCAAGGAGACGGCGGUGGCCGCCGUGAAAGACGGUGGGUCGUCUGACGUCGCGUUUCACGAGUUCUUUUUUUUUAUCAUCAGUACAGACACAAGCUCUCAUAUACACGCGCAUACACUCAUCUCUAUG